GGCUAACGCUGGCGGCGUGUCUUAGCCAUGCAAGUCGAGCGGACUUAUGGGGUAACUUAUAAGUCAGCGGCGGACGGCGGAGUAACACGUAGCUAACCUACCCUCUGGACGGGGAUAACCUACCGAAAGGUGGGCUAAUACCCGAUGUAGUCAUCCUGUAUAGGGGUGAUGAAAGGUGGGCUUCUGUUUACAAGCUCAUGCUGGAGGAGGGGGCUGCGGCCUAUCAGGUAGUUGGUAGGGUAAUAGCCUACCAAGCCGAUGACGGGUAGCCGGCCUGAGAGGGUGACCGGCCCGAGGGGCACUGAGAUACGGGUCCCACUCCUACGGGAGGCAGCAGGCUAGAAAUUUGGGCAAUGGGGGAAACCCUGACCCAGUGACGCCGCGUGCAGGAAGGAGCCCCUUCGGGGUGUAAACUGCUGUCGUGUAGGGAGAAGGGUACUAAGGUGAACAAUCUUAGUACUUGACGGUACUACAGGAGGAAGCCCAGGCUAACCUCGUG
Molecule: ribosomal RNA, 499 nt
Filed under: uncultured bacterium
Lineage: Bacteria
Description: bacterial SSU rRNA
Rfam family: Bacterial small subunit ribosomal RNA
Source: RNAcentral